This is a long non-coding RNA of Strigops habroptila (Kakapo), 4573 nucleotides long. The record is from Ensembl. NCBI's taxonomy places the organism in Eukaryota, Metazoa, Chordata, Aves, Psittaciformes, Psittacidae.
GUCACAAUGAUUUUUAUUCUUGUAUGAAUGGUCUUAUUGCUAUUGCUACAUUUAUUAUUUUGAAGUUUCAUUAAAUAGGUCUAUUAAAAAAAAAAACAAACAAAAGAACCCACCAACUUUUCAACUGCAAAAAAAAUUUCCAUAAAGCUGAGAUAUACAGCAGACACUCUCUCAAGAAUUACAUCAGGAGUAUCAGUACUGCCUUGACAUUAAUGAGCAUGUGUCACCUGGAGUUAGUUGCAUUACGAUCACUAAGACUGUACAUGAUGGUCUGUUAGCAGGAGAGGGAGUGUCCAUUAAGAGGCAGGCUAUCCAAUGUGUGAGAGGAGACUUGAUGACCCUUUCCCAUCUUCCCCUGCCAGAAGUUCUUCCAUGCUCUGAUGUUUGCUAGAAGGGCGUAGAGGACACUCUCCAGUUGCUACUGUACAAACAGAAUGCUGAAGGCCAUCACAACACAGCACACAGCCACGUAAGGGCUCUUCCGUUCACCUGAGAGGAGGAGAAAAACAAACACCAAACCAAACCAAAAUUCAGGCAUGACUAAGCAUACCUAGGCUGCUCCUAACCUAAUAUGGCAAUUACCCCAUUGCACCUGGAAGAAAUGCUAUUACAACUACAGUUGUAGGAAGAACAUGCAUGGGAGUGGAAAAACUAAGCUGUAGGAUAGAAUAUAUUUCAGUAAAAGACAGACUGGGAGCAAAGCUUUAAGCAAAGGUUGGAUACAAGGACUUCUAUCUUACUACAAACCAUGUUUUCUGAGAUGCAGUUUCCAGGAAAACAUUAAAAAGAAAAAAAGAAUAUAUUGCUGCUGUUUCUUAGUGCCAAAGAAAGUCAGGAGGCAGGCACUGGAAAGCUGAUCAAGACACCAAACCUUUAACUCGACCUGUUCCCACUUCUGGCUAAAGGCUAUCGCUGCUCAAAAGCUGUUCAGUGUCAGCUGAGGUGUACCUCAAUGGUCUCUGGCUAUAUGCACUGUGCAUCUUCUAUGCAUGGUAUCAUGCAAGAGCCAGCUAACUGUCUGGGGAGCUCACAGCUGCCCAGACAUGGCCAGAUGCCUGCCCUACUUCUUUGUUAGAGAGACAUAACAUUGUUAGCAUGUGGAGAGGGUCUGGUCCAGAGAUUUUCAGAUUAGUGAUAAAAACGGUCAACAGAUCAUAGAAGUUGCACAGACACCUCUAUUUCUGACUGUUUCAAAUGAGUGUCACAGUUUCUGGGGGCCGACUGUGGAUGAAAGUUAAAUUUACUCCAUUAACAGACUUGUAUUUGGUGGCAAAGGCACUCAAGAAAAGUAUAUUCCCACUCGUUUGGUCCAGAACAAAAUGUUACAGAGCUCCCUUGCUCUGCAAAUAAAUUAUGAAAAAAAAAACCAAACCCAAACCAAUUUUAAGUAGGCAACUCUAACACAAUCAGGGGAAUAUAGUAUUGUUAAUCAGACUGCUGUCUAUUUACAUGGGCAACUCCUCUAUUUAACUAUCCAGGUGUUUUUACUCUCCUACUUUACACUUUUACAUAUCCCUAGAAGUGUUCAAGGCCAGGUUGGACAGGGCUUGGAGCAACCUGAUCUAGUGGAAGGUGUCCCUGCCUGCGGCAGGGGGUUGGAACUGGAUGAGCUUUAAGGUCCCUUCCAACCCAAACCAGUCUGUGAGUCUAUGAUACUUCAGCAUUACUCUUCUUUAAUCCACUGACCUCUCUGGAGAGCAGAACCCCUGCACUGAAUGGUACUUCCAGUCUACAAAACAAGAAUGUCCUCAAUGUAAGAAGGACAUGGAGCUGUUGGAGCUAGUCCAGAGGAGGGCCACGAGGAUGAUCAGGCGGCUGGAGCACCUCCCAUAUAAAGACAGGCUGAGAACACUGAGGCUGUUCAGCCUGGAGAGGAGAAGGCUGCGUGGAGACCUCAUAGCAGCCUUCCAGUAUCUGAAGGGAGCCUACAAGAAUGCCGAAGAGGGACUCUUCAUCAGGGACUGCAGUAGGACAAGGGGGAAUGAGUUUAAACUGGGGAAGUUCAGGUUAGCUACCAGGAAGAAGUUCUUUACAGUGAGGGUGGUGAGGCACUGGCACAGGUUGCCCAAAGAAGUUUUGAAUGCUCCAUCCCUGGCGGUGUUCAAGGCAGGCUGGAUGAAGCCUUGGGCGACAUGGUCUACUGUGAGAUGUCCCUGCCUGUGGCAAUGGGUUAGAACUAGAUGAUCUAAAGGUGCUUUCCAACCCAAACCAUUCUGUGAUUCUACAAAAACUGCCAGGAGGUGUUAACACAGCAAUGACUCUUUAAAAUAAGAAGAUUCCUGGAUUUAUGUGUUCAGAAGCAUAAAGACAGCUGGUCCUGUUUAUUUAAAAAACCCCAAACUUCCAUUUCCUUUUGCUGUGCAAGGUCUUUUGUCCUACUAUAAACCAGCUUUUCUGAGACAGAGUUUUCAGAGAAAAACUGAUGAAAAAAACCUGCCAAGGCUCACCACCAGGAAUUUCAAAUACAGGAGGUACUAACUUUCCACAGCAAAAGAAAGUACUUGUAGUGGCACCUCCCAUACGCAGAAGUGCCUGCUGCAGUGACACUACAAGAUGUUGUCAUGAUCUAGCAUAUAUUUAAUUAAACUUCAAAUAACUGAAUGAAUUAAUGUCUACAGUUUCACAUCUGUUUAAAAUAAAUUUUUGAGGAAGUCCACCUCCUACAGUUUAGAGUAUUACAAUUUUCAUAUGGGUUAUACUUUCCUGCUCUUACUUUUCUUAAGAGAAACCACCAUGUGGCAGGAUUAAACAUCAUUUUGCACAACUUGGUAAAUAUGUAACCACUUGUUGGUUAUUAAAAUCUUAUGCACAUGUGAAAAGGUUGUUUAAACAUACUGGGCAAGUUAAAUGUAAAGAAAGUCAGUAGGCAUUUUCAUUUGUAAAAGCAUGCACUUUCUACAUGCAUUUGUGAUUAACACAAUAAAAUGAUGGGAAUCACCUUCAAAGCCCAUUUCCCAUACUGAGAAUACGGUACUGCUAAGUCUAGAAAUAUGUGGAAAGAAUGUAAGAAUGCUACCUUCUCCUCUGUCACUCAAAUUGGACCACUCUGAUGUAAGCUGAAAAGAAAUUAGUGUUUUACAUGAAGAGAAAAGGAUGCAGUUCAGUAUGGGGCACCAUAAUGCAUACAUUACCUUGGGUGCAGCAAAUGUAAACUUGUUAAUGUUACUACAUGAUGGGAAAACAAGACUGUUCCAGAUGAACUUCAGUUCUUAACUUUACCAAGUUGUCAGGGACCUCAUAAAACCUCUUUUAAAAAAAACUCUUUAAAAGUUUUUAAAGCAGUUUGCUGUGCAUAGCUAAUGAAAAAAAUAUGCUUUCAUAUUAAUAAAAAAAUAAAGUAAGCUAAGGUGUUCAACCUCGAACCAACCUUAAUGCAGCAGAAUUUUUAGUCUUCUCUUUUUUCCUGAUACAGCUCAAAAUUGAUUUCUGACAGCUACCGCCUUGCCAUUAUCUUUCAAUUACAAUACCAAAAAUUGGUUCUGCUAUGUCUAUUAUCUAAAUAGCAAAAUAUCUGCAAUCAUUUUAACAGGUCUUCACAAAACCUUGGGUUUUGUGUCAAUGCUUUCUGACAUACUGAAAAAUGUAUGUCAUGUCCCUUUCAAAGCCUGAGAACGCACAAGAGGGAACCAUACAUUUUUCCUUUAGGUUCAGUGACAAGUAGGAAGCUCUACAAUUACAAGUUCAAUGUUCCUGCUCUGCACUAACAAUACAAUUUGAAGAACAUUGUUUUGAUGAUGGAUUUGUCAAUUUUAAAAAAUCUUGGAUCUACCUUAAUGAUAAGAACAAACUUCUGUUGCAUAUUCCCAUUUCCUUCUCAAAAUAAAUUCAGAAUAAGGAUUUAAUAUAAAUAUAAGUAUUAUGGGAAAGUGUCUAAAAUCAGAGCUGAUCAGCCUGCCCAUAGAUGCCACUUGACACCAACAGCUUUGUGUAAUUCAAAAGCGCACAGAAGCUAACUAAAUGAGCGAAAAACAGAUAUUUGUGACUGAACAGAACCUUACUGCAUUAUGAAUUUCAUGUUGGUUAAUUACUACAAGGUUAAGUAUCUGGCUUUUGUCAGUAAUCCUUUAGAAUUUCAAAUAGACAGCAGUUUACAAGGAAUCACUUUUUUGAUUCCUUAUAAAUUUUUUUGAUUUUGGUUUCUUUGUAUGUUAGUAAGAAGUAUGCCCAUGGUUAUUUUGUGUAGUAAAACAUCCAAAAGAUUUUUGCAAUAACACCACAUACAUGAAUUGAUACUAGAAAAUGCGGGAUUCCAUGAUGCUAAGACAGUCAUACCCUACCUCCUCCCACCUUCACUAUAUUUCAUGGAGGUAAAACCUGCAUUUUUUAAGAUGCUGUAUGAUAUGGCUUUCCUUGCUACAAGGAAACACUAUCCUGAUAAGUAAUGCAUACUCUAGAAAAAGAACUAAAGAUUUCAAAGAAAAAGAAUUACCAAUCCUGGCGCAUUUCCAGAAUAUUCCCAACAGUCUUUUUAUUUUUGUCCAGUAAGCUGGGAGCCAAGGAUCUGAUAUAGGCACAGGUGCAUAUAAGCAGCAAGAUUACAGUCAGUAGACUCUGAAAGUUGAAGAUGGCAGAC